Molecule: ribosomal RNA, 511 nt
Filed under: uncultured bacterium
Lineage: Bacteria
Description: bacterial SSU rRNA
Rfam family: Bacterial small subunit ribosomal RNA
Source: RNAcentral
ACGCCGCGUGAGCGAAGAAGGUCUUCGGAUCGUAAAGCUCUGUUGUUAGGGAAGAACAAGUACCGGAGUAACUGUCGGUACCUUGACGGUACCUAACCAGAAAGCCACGGCUAACUACGUGCCAGCAGCCGCGGUAAUACGUAGGUGGCAAGCGUUGUCCGGAAUCAUUGGGCGUAAAGCGCGCGCAGGCGGUCCUUUAAGUCUGAUGUGAAAUCUUGCGGCUCAACCGCAAGCGGUCAUUGGAAACUGGGGGACUUGAGUGCAGGAGAGGAAAGCGGAAUUCCAUGUGUAGCGGUGAAAUGCGUAGAGAUAUGGAGGAACACCAGUGGCGAAGGCGGCUUUCUGGCCUGUAACUGACGCUGAGGCGCGAAAGCGUGGGGAGCAAACAGGAUUAGAUACCCUGGUAGUCCACGCCGUAAACGAUGAGUGCUAAGUGUUGGAGGGUUUCCGCCCUUCAGUGCUGCAGCUAACGCAUUAAGCACUCCGCCUGGGGAGUACGGUCGCAAGACUG